Molecule: unclassified non-coding RNA, 216 nt
Filed under: Hevea brasiliensis (rubber tree)
Lineage: Eukaryota; Viridiplantae; Streptophyta; Magnoliopsida; Malpighiales; Euphorbiaceae
Source: RNAcentral
GUGCCAGCCUGCUGGUACUCCUAUCUUGCCUUGCAUUGGCAUCCAUCCAUGACAGCACCUCGAGGAUGCAGCUGAUCCUCGGGGGCAUGCAAGCAUGGCCGGGCGCGUCUGCAUGGAAACCUUGUGUUUCGAGUCGGAACUGUGUGUUAUUUGCUCCCUAGUGACGUGACGCUUGUUGAGUCGUUUCUGCUCUGCGUUGGCUGGCCCCUGCCUGUG